CAUGUAGGCGGUUUCUUAAGUCGGACGUGAAAGCUCCUGGCUCAACUGGGAGAGGCCGUUCGAAACUAGGUCACUUGAGGAUGGUAGAGGAGAGUGGAAUUCCCGGUGUAGUGGUGAAAUGCGUAGAUAUCGGGAGGAACACCAGUGGCGAAGGCGGCUCUCUGGGCCAUUCCUGACGCUGAGAUGCGAAAGCUAGGGGAGAGAACG
Molecule: ribosomal RNA, 207 nt
Filed under: uncultured bacterium
Lineage: Bacteria
Description: partial 16S ribosomal RNA
Rfam family: Bacterial small subunit ribosomal RNA
Source: RNAcentral